Molecule: long non-coding RNA, 1117 nt
Filed under: Homo sapiens (human)
Lineage: Eukaryota; Metazoa; Chordata; Mammalia; Primates; Hominidae
Description: non-protein coding LINC01146:23
Source: RNAcentral
AGGAGGAGGAGGAGAGAUUUGAGGGAAGAGGUAGCAGUCCCUGCCAUGGUGAGUUUGUAAGGAGAAACUGAGCAUGCUUAAUUCAUGCACUUGCUAGGGAACAAGCUUAUCCUAAUCUAGCCUGGCUAGGGGAUGUCUGUCUAAUUCUAGGGCUCAGUACUAGGAAGCUGCCUUGGCCACAAAUGUAAGCCAUACUUUUCCAUAUUAUCUUUCACACCAAUAAAGCUGAUAGGCUUAGCUCCAUCUGCUAAACAACUUUGUCUUCUUUUCAAUUGUUUCAGAGCUCAGAUGGAAAAGAAUGGUGUUACUGAGACCCUUCAAGAUUCCCAGUGUAAUUCAAUAAAGAAAAGGCAACACAAAGGGGUUGUAUAGAAUUCGCCACAUUAUGGACCCAUGUCAUAGAGAGAAUCCACGGUGCAUUUGUUAGCUGCAUUUAAAUGACAACACUUUCAGAUCCAAGAUUUAUUUGGGAUAAAAAUUUACCUGGAUGCAAGGCUAUUCAGAAUGAAGAUUAAUGAUAUGGUUUGGCUGUGUCCCCACCCAAACUUCAUCUUGAAUUCCCACGUGUUGUGAGAGGGACCUGGUGGGAGAUAAUUGAACCAUGGGGGCAGGUCUUUCUCAUGCUGUUCUCAUGAGAGUGAAUAAGUCUCAUGAAACCUGAUGGUUUUAUAAGGGGGAAUUUCCCUGCACAAGCUCUCUCUCUGCCUUUUGCCAUCCAUGUAAGACGUGACUUGGUCCUCCUUGCCUUCUACCAUGAUUAUGAGGCCUCCCCAGCCACGUGGAACUGUGAGUCCAUUAAACCUCUUUCUUUUGUAAAUUUCCCAGUCUCAGGUAUGUCUUUAUCAGCAGCAUGAAAACAGACUAACACAAUUACAUUUCCCAGCUAUCCCCUUGCACUGAGAUGAGCCAUGUUACUAAUCCUGACAAAUGGGAUGUGAGUUUAAAUUACAUGUGAAACCUCUGGGUUUCACAAGAGGAAUCUGAACCCCUGCAAAGAAAGAGACCCCAAACAGUCCUGGAUCAUUAUGUGACAGAGAGAAUCACUUCUAUCUUGUGUUUUAAAAUACUGUUAUGUUUAAUCUCUGUCAUGGCAGUAAAACCUAUAUUGGAACAAGUC